RNAcentral lists this ribosomal RNA (494 nucleotides) under uncultured bacterium. Its description in RNAcentral is "partial 16S ribosomal RNA". It matches the Rfam family "Bacterial small subunit ribosomal RNA", at positions 28 to 507 of the family's 1533-position model. The record is from RNAcentral.
GACGAACGCUGGCGGCGUGCUUAACACAUGCAAGUCGAACGGUGAAGCGCCUUCCUUUUUGGUGGGUGUGGAUGAGUGGCGAACGGGUGAGUAACACGUGAGUAACCUGCCCCCUUCUUCUGGAUAACCGCAUGAAAGUGUGGCUAAUACGGGAUAUUCUGGGUCUGUCGCAUGAUGGGUCUGGGAAAGAUAUUGUUUCGGUGGGGGAUGGGCUCGCGGCCUAUCAGCUUGUUGGUGGGGUGAUGGCCUACCAAGGCGGCGACGGGUAGCCGGCCUGAGAGGGUGGACGGUCACACUGGGACUGAGACACGGCCGAGACUCCUACGGGAGGCAGCAGUGGGGAAUAUUGCACAAUGGGCGCAAGCCUGAUGCAGCGACGCCGCGUGAGGGAUGGAGGCCUUCGGGUUGUGAACCUCUUUCGCCAGUGAAGCAGGCCUGCCUCGUUUGUGGGUGGGUUGACGGUAGCUGGAUAAGAAGCGCCGGCUAACUACGUG